RNAcentral lists this long non-coding RNA (665 nucleotides) under Equus caballus (horse). RNAcentral describes it as "lncRNA (ENSECAG00000049251.1)". The record is from RNAcentral. Lineage: Eukaryota; Metazoa; Chordata; Mammalia; Perissodactyla; Equidae.
AAAAGAACACCCUGGCUGAAAACACAUCUGAGACUGAAAAAUAUUCCUCCUUAAAAAAUGGAGCGUGUUUGAGGCGCCGGUGUUCUGGAGAGGACUGGUGGGCAGCAGAGGGCCUGGGAGGAGCGUCAGACCCGGAUGCCUGAAGGCAGAGUUGGCAGUCCGAGGCACCAGCUACUGCUGAAGGUCAGCAAAAGGCAGCAGCUGAAGACGAGAGAGUUAUCUGCAAGUCUGAGUAAGGGACAGGCAGAGCCGCCAGAACUCUACUCCUAGUGCCAAGAAGCAGAAGAUCAGGUUCCAGUUCAGUUUCUGGAGCAGAUAAGAUUCCAUGAGCUGCAUGAAUCUUGGAGAUUCAGAAGAUGGUCUCAGCCGGCAAGAUUGGUCAUGGCCAUUGGCUUUUUCUGAAGCAGCAGUCCAGCGUCAGUCAUCAGCAAAAUGGUGACAAGAGACAGCUUCACUGGCUUUGUGAUCCCUGGAUCUCAUCUAAAUUGACGUUCUUAAAGUCAGCAGUUUCAGUGAUGGCUCCCUGAUUCUCCACCUUCCUGACUGUGGUAGGAGAGCAGUUCCCCUGCUGGGCUCAUUCUGUCGUGUUGUUCUCGAUGCUAUUUCUGGAAGCCUAACUCAGAGCUUUCCAGUCCUUCCAGGAUUGUGCGAACUCCUUGUUUCCU